This 253-nucleotide ribosomal RNA is filed under the name uncultured bacterium. RNAcentral's name for it is "partial 16S ribosomal RNA". It matches the Rfam family "Bacterial small subunit ribosomal RNA", at positions 524 to 776 of the family's 1533-position model. The record is from RNAcentral.
UACAGAGGGUGCUAGCGUUGUUCGGAAUCAUUGGGCGUAAAGGGCGUGUAGGCGGUUUGCUAAGUCAUGUGUGAAAUCCCUCGGCUCAACCGGGGAACGACGCAUGAAACUGGCAAGCUAGAGUACCAAAGAGGGGGGUGGAAUUCCCGGUGUAGCGGUGAAAUGCUUAGAUAUCGUCAAGAACACCUAUUGCGAAGGCAGCUAACUAAGCUUUAACUGACGCUGAGGCACGAAAGUGUGGGGAUCAAACAGG